Long non-coding RNA from Rosa chinensis, 218 nucleotides. RefSeq lists it as uncharacterized. The transcript is spliced from 2 exons. NCBI's taxonomy places the organism in Eukaryota, Viridiplantae, Streptophyta, Magnoliopsida, Rosales, Rosaceae. The record is from RefSeq and is a predicted model, not a curated record.
UUCAGAGUUGGAUUUGAAUCUUGAGUACAAGCCAGAUGUCAGGGAAGACUUAGAGGCUGUGGGGAAGAAACUUGAAGAAUGCACCGAAAGGUGUUCGUGAAAAUGCCCCAGAGAAAAGCUCAUAAGUUACUAUGCAGGGUAUCUGAAAUCUUGCGAUAGCUCUAUUGAUCUUGUUAAUGUCCUGAAGCAUGAGAUUCAAGAUGGGCAACUGAGCUUUA